GGGGAAUAUUGCACAAUGGGCGCAAGCCUGAUGCAGCGACGCCGCGUGGGGGAUGACGGCCUUCGGGUUGUAAACCUCUUUCAGUAUCGGCGAAGCGCCUGGGUUUUCUUAGGCGUGACGGUAGGUACAGAAGAAGCACCGGCCAACUACGUGCCAGCAGCCGCGGUAAUACGUAGGGUGCGAGCGUUGUCCGGAAUUACUGGGCGUAAAGAGCUCGUAGGUGGUUUGUCGCGUUGUUCGUGAAAACUCACAGCUUAACUGUGGGCGUGCGGGCGAUACGGGCAGACUGGAGUACUGUAGGGGAGACUGGAAUUCCUGGUGUAGCGGUGGAAUGCGCAGAUAUCAGGAGGAACACCGGUGGCAAAGGCGGGUCUCUGGGCAGUAACUGACGCUGAGGAGCGAAAGCGUGGGGAGCGAAC
This 419-nucleotide ribosomal RNA is filed under the name uncultured bacterium. RNAcentral describes it as "bacterial SSU rRNA". It matches the Rfam family "Bacterial small subunit ribosomal RNA", at positions 356 to 773 of the family's 1533-position model. The record is from RNAcentral.